This 433-nucleotide ribosomal RNA is filed under the name uncultured bacterium. RNAcentral's name for it is "partial 16S ribosomal RNA". It matches the Rfam family "Bacterial small subunit ribosomal RNA", at positions 29 to 507 of the family's 1533-position model. The record is from RNAcentral.
AACGAACGCUGGCGGCAUGCCUAACACAUGCAAGUCGAACGAGACCUCCGGGUCUAGUGGCGCACGGGUGCGUAACGCGUGGGAACCUGCCCUUAGGUUCGGAAUAACUCCCCGAAAGGGGUGCUAAUACCGGAUAAUGUCUUCGGACCAAAGAUUUAUCGCCUUUGGCUGGGCCCGCGUUGGAUUAGCUAGUUGGUAGGGUAAAAGCCUACCAAGGCGACGAUCCAUAGCUGGUCUGAGAGGAUGAUCAGCCACACUGGGACUGAGACACGGCCCAGACUCCUACGGGAGGCAGCAGUGGGGAAUAUUGGACAAUGGGCGAAAGCCUGAUCCAGCAAUGCCGCGUGAGUGAUGAAGGCCUUAGGGUUGUAAAGCUCUUUUACCCGGGAUGAUAAUGACAGUACCGGGUGAAUAAGCUCCGGCUAACUCCGUG